RNAcentral lists this ribosomal RNA (460 nucleotides) under uncultured bacterium. RNAcentral describes it as "partial 16S ribosomal RNA". It matches the Rfam family "Bacterial small subunit ribosomal RNA", at positions 338 to 795 of the family's 1533-position model. The record is from RNAcentral.
CCUACGGGGGGCAGCAGUGAGGAAUAUUGGUCAAUGGGCGGGAGCCUGAACCAGCCAAGUCGCGUGAGGGAAGACGGUCCUAUGGAUUGUAAACCUCUUUAGGCGGGUGGCAAUGCCGGGCACGUGUGCCCGGAGGGAGAGUACCCGCAGAAUAAGCAUCGGCUAACUCCGUGCCAGCAGCCGCGGUAAUACGUAGGAUGCGAGCGUUAUCCGGUUUUAUUGGGUUUAAAGGGUGCGUAGGCGGAUGUUUAAGUCAGCGGUAAAAUGUCCGGGCUCAACCAGGGCCGGCCGUUGAAACUGGGGAUCUUGAGUGGGCGAGAAGUAUGCGGAAUGCGUGGUGUAGCGGUGAAAUGCAUAGAUAUCACGAAGAACUCCGAUGGCGAAGGCAGCAUACCGGCGCCCGACUGACGCUGAGGUACGAAAGCGUGGGGAGCGAACAGGAUUAGAUACCCUUGUAGUC